CCAGUUGUGGCCUAAUGGUUAGAGAGUUGGACUUGUAAUCCGAAGGUGAACCUGAAGGUCGCGGGUUUGAGUCUCAGGCCGGCAGGU
Pangasius djambal is the source of this 87-nucleotide non-coding RNA. The record is from the annotation of a GenBank genome assembly. Lineage: Eukaryota; Metazoa; Chordata; Actinopteri; Siluriformes; Pangasiidae.